RNAcentral lists this transfer RNA (68 nucleotides) under Cabdio morar (aspidoparia). RNAcentral's name for it is "tRNA-Ala". It matches the Rfam family "tRNA". From Rfam's summary of the family: Transfer RNA (tRNA) molecules are approximately 80 nucleotides in length. Their secondary structure includes four short double-helical elements and three loops (D, anti-codon, and T loops). Further hydrogen bonds mediate the characteristic L-shaped molecular structure. tRNAs have two regions of fundamental functional importance: the anti-codon, which is responsible for specific mRNA codon recognition, and the 3' end, to which the tRNAs corresponding amino acid is attached (by aminoacyl-tRNA synthetases). tRNAs cope with the degeneracy of the genetic code in two manners: having more than one tRNA (with a specific anti-codon) for a particular amino acid; and 'wobble' base-pairing, i.e. permitting non-standard base-pairing at the 3rd anti-codon position. The record is from RNAcentral. Lineage: Eukaryota; Metazoa; Chordata; Actinopteri; Cypriniformes; Danionidae.
AGGGCUUUAGUUUAAUCAAAAUGUUUGAUUUGCAAUCAGAAGAUGUGGAGUAAUAUCCGCAAGCCCUA